UUCUACUUAGGAUUUGACGACUUUACCGUGGUGCGGAAAUGAUACGCAUUCAGCAGAAACUGUACUUGGAAUUUCGAAUUUUGCUCGUUUGCUGAUGUGACAAUUAAUAACCAGAAACCUGGGUAAAGUGGAGUAGGGGGUUUGACAGAGGGCGCUCUCCCGCCCUACCUACCACUCCUUGUCAAGUGCAGACCCAACAGGAAGAGACUGUCUUGACACUACCCGGACUUGACCUUGCUGCUUGGAGAGAUCCUGUUUUCCCCUAAUACUAAUAUCUGCUGAAACGCACCACCUUUAUCAGAAACAUCAACCUUUAUGUUCUUCAUUUAGUUACUGUGGACAGCCUACAUAUGCCAGACCCCGAAGGAACUGAAGAAGAUACAGGGUCUCUCUCUUCCACAAAAGGGCGCCUGCCUCGCAGCCAGCGAUGGGCUAUGACAUUAGUAGGUGCUCUAAUAGGGCUGUCCUGUGACAAAGUGCCUCACUGUGUCUGAGGAGCUGCAGAAAGAAGCAAGACUGAGGAAUUCGGAUCUCAAAGACUGGCUCCCAUAUGUUUGUUCCAUAAACAAUUUGAGUGGGACGUGUCAGGUGAAGGAAAAGAGUAUCACGCAGCUGGAACAACAUAGAAAAGAUAUGCAAGAGAUUAAAAUGCUGAGUGGUUAGGGGAGACAGAAGAGACAGACGAGAGGCCUCCAGGUCCCAAGGAUUAAAUUCCCACCUCCCCUCUGCUUCUGGUUGACUUUGUGGGGGAAACCCAGGAUGAGACAGACACUGUUCAUCGCAUAAGGGGAACCCUGGCUUAGACCCUCUUCCGUGCCCUCCUUUUAA
Molecule: long non-coding RNA, 828 nt
Organism: Prionailurus viverrinus (fishing cat)
Lineage: Eukaryota; Metazoa; Chordata; Mammalia; Carnivora; Felidae
Exons: 3
Source: RefSeq, a predicted model, not a curated record